GACAGAGGUGCCAAGCGUUAGGCGGAAUCACUGGGCUUAAAGCGUGUGUAGGCGGGCGGGCAAGUACCUUGUGAAAUCCCACGGCUCAACCGUGGAACGGCUGGGUAUACUGCCUGUCUUGAGCCAGCUAGGGGCGACCGGAACAGACGGUGGAGCGGUGAGAUGCGUAGAUAUCGUCUGGAACGCCAAAGGUGAAAACAGGUCGCUGGGGCUGAGCUGACGCUGAGACACGAAAGCCAGGGGAGCGAACGGG
This 253-nucleotide ribosomal RNA is filed under the name uncultured bacterium. RNAcentral's name for it is "partial 16S ribosomal RNA". It matches the Rfam family "Bacterial small subunit ribosomal RNA", at positions 524 to 776 of the family's 1533-position model. The record is from RNAcentral.